RNAcentral lists this ribosomal RNA (253 nucleotides) under uncultured bacterium. RNAcentral describes it as "partial 16S ribosomal RNA". It matches the Rfam family "Bacterial small subunit ribosomal RNA", at positions 524 to 776 of the family's 1533-position model. The record is from RNAcentral.
GACGGAGGGUGCAAGCGUUGUUCGGAAUCACUGGGCGUAAAGCGCGUGUAGGCGGUUGAAUAAGUCGGAUGUGAAAGCCCGGAGCUUAACUCCGGAAGUGCAUUCGAAACUGUUCGGCUCGAGUACGGGAGAGGGAAGUGGAAUUCCUGGUGUAGAGGUGAAAUUCGUAGAGAUCAGGAGGAACACCGGUGGCGAAGGCGGCUUCCUGGACCGAUACUGACGCUGAGACGCGAAAGAGUGGGGAGCAAACAGG